Molecule: long non-coding RNA, 1114 nt
Filed under: Olea europaea subsp. europaea
Lineage: Eukaryota; Viridiplantae; Streptophyta; Magnoliopsida; Lamiales; Oleaceae
Source: RNAcentral
AUAACAGUAAGCAUGAAAUUCUCAAUAAUUUAAGCAUAAACCAGUAUCCUUUUAUUUGAAAAAUAAUAAACUCACAGGCCAAACAAGAAUCCCUUUCUAAUUCACUACAAACCAUGAGACUGUCCAUAAAUAAAGCAUAAGCCAGUAUCAAAUUUGUCGAUCCCUUUUUAAUUCACUCCAAACAAAUCAAAAUUUCUCCAAAGGCAAGUAAAAAUUCAACCCAAAUAAGAAUCCACACUGAAAGCACCAAAAAUUGUAAAACUGUAAUUGUUUAGAGUUAACAAAAUUUUAUUUCUAAUCAUCACAGAAAAUGCUCACUAUCAACUUCAACACGUAGCCAGCACCAUUUGUCCUUAUCUAUAUGACAAGCAAACCCCAAACAACAAAUUGAACCGAAUAAUCGAAGGAGGAACGAAGAGCAAAUGUCAAAAUUGUACCAAAAAAAUCUCGUAUUCAAUUUGCAAGCGAGCAGUAAAUGAAGGUUUGAGAGAUGAGGAAUGUCAAUCGAUUUUUUUGCGACGGCGUAAUGCCUGGACACGGCUUCGGAUUCAAAUACCAUGCGGAUCAAGUCGGAAGCGAGUACCAAUUUUGGCGACUACCGGAGCUCCACUAUUGCCGGAAUUGCACGACUUUGGGAAGAAAUGGGGAGAGGAGGGAAUAGGGCCUGAUUUGAGCGAAAAUGGGGAGACAGAUGAAGGAUUUUCGAUUUCAAUUUUCAAUUUUUUUUUUAAAUAGCGCCACGUCACUUUGUAGGGUAAGUUUGUAACCGUCUUUGAACGCGUAGAGAGACCGUUAUUUUCCUUUCGAUUUCAGCAUGCUAGGUUGUAAAGGAAAUUUAGGAUAUUCUUGAAAGGAUAAAUAUAAAUGUACAAAUAAAUGUGUAUAAAAUGGGUUACUCUCACAAAUAAGUGGUUCUCACAUGAAUUUAACAAAGUCGGCUCGUGGUCCCCACCUCCUAUUAUAAGUAGUGAGUAAAGAACUUUGUAAAAAAAGUUUGUAAGUGUAAUAUGAUCCUUUUUGAAAAUGUAAAUGAAGGAACUACUAAUGUGAGAUCAUCUAUACAGACUACAGAUUUGAGUUUGAUUAAUUUUACUUCAAUCGAUUUAAUGGUACU